CAGCAGCCGCGGUAAUACGUAGGGUGCAAGCGUUAAUCGGAAUUACUGGGCGUAAAGCGUGCGCAGGCGGUUAUAUAAGACAGAUGUGAAAUCCCCGGGCUCAACCUGGGAACUGCAUUUGUGACUGUAUAGCUAGAGUACGGCAGAGGGGGAUGGAAUUCCGAGUGUAGCAGUGAAAUGCGUAGAUAUGCGGAGGAACACCGAUGGCGAAGGCAAUCCCCUGGGCCUGUACUGACGCUCAUGCACGAAAGCGUGGGGAGCAAACAGGAUUAGAUACCCGAGUAGUCCCUGUCUCUUAUAA
This 301-nucleotide ribosomal RNA is filed under the name uncultured bacterium. Its description in RNAcentral is "partial 16S ribosomal RNA". It matches the Rfam family "Bacterial small subunit ribosomal RNA", at positions 509 to 809 of the family's 1533-position model. The record is from RNAcentral.